Molecule: long non-coding RNA, 362 nt
Organism: Bolinopsis microptera
Lineage: Eukaryota; Metazoa; Ctenophora; Tentaculata; Lobata; Bolinopsidae
Exons: 2
Source: RefSeq, a predicted model, not a curated record
UCUAAAGUUUCUCUACUAAUAGUUUAAACACUGCACACUUUCUUCACGAUGAAAUAUUUCGCCGCUGUAUUUGCUGCCGUCCUGGCUCUGAGUAUCGCCUCCCCCCUCGAGGUCGAGGAGAGACAGGGUGAUAUGAUCAGUAUGAUAAUGGAAAUGGUCAAAGGUUUUAUCUGCAGCAUGGAUGUCGUGGAAGUCGAGGUUGAGGAGAGACAGAUGGACAUCAUCAAGAUGAUUAUCGGUAUGGUUAAAGGAUUCCUCUGCGAUUAGGACAACUAACAUGCUAAAAUUACUUAAUCAACUCAAUGCUCAUGUUCCUUGUUUGUUUGAAAAGUUAUCCUAUUUAUUUGUAGUGACAUAAGAUA